AAGGCUCUGAUGUGUAUGUAGGCUUUCAGGUGCUUACCGACCCCAGCUUCUGACCAGAGGAAGCCUCGGUCCCUUUCCUAGCAUGACCCCUUUGUCCUUCAAGAUCAUUGCCUCUAUUUACACUAAAUAGAGGCAGCUCCAUUUUUGAGUUCCUGUAUUUUGGGCAAACCGAGCUGGAGGUCCCCACAGCCGGUCCAAGCAGGCCUCAGCUGUCCUGAAGAUGGUCACGUGGACGGCGCUCCCAAGCCUGCUCCUCUGACAAAGUUUAGCAAACAGCUUAUCUCCCAGAAAACACGUGAGGUACCUGGGCAGUCCGUGUGCUGUGAAGCACAGCCAUGGUGAGUGGAUGAAGCACAACUUUUGAUGUCUAGAGCUGCCCCAGGGCUGCCCCAGUGACUUCUAUCCAGAGCUGAUGACCACAGACUCCCUUGUGAUGCCAGAGGAGAGGCAUUUUCUUUCCUACUCUUUGUGAAUGUGACAGAUUUUAAAU
This 490-nucleotide long non-coding RNA is filed under the name Mus pahari (shrew mouse). RNAcentral's name for it is "lncRNA (MGP_PahariEiJ_G0004583.1)". The record is from RNAcentral. Lineage: Eukaryota; Metazoa; Chordata; Mammalia; Rodentia; Muridae.